UGGGGAAUUUUGGACAAUGGGGGAAACCCUGAUCCAGCCAUCCCGCGUGUGCGAUGAAGGCCUUCGGGUUGUAAAGCACUUUUGGCAGGAAAGAAACGUCGCGGGUUAAUACCCCGCGAAACUGACGGUACCUGCAGAAUAAGCACCGGCUAACUACGUGCCAGCAGCCGCGGUAAUACGUAGGGUGCAAGCGUUAAUCGGAAUUACUGGGCGUAAAGCGUGCGCAGGCGGUUCGGAAAGAAAGAUGUGAAAUCCCAGAGCUUAACUUUGGAACUGCAUUUUUAACUACCGGGCUAGAGUGUGUCAGAGGGAGGUGGAAUUCCGCGUGUAGCAGUGAAAUGCGUAGAUAUGCGGAGGAACACCGAUGGCGAAGGCAGCCUCCUGGGAUAACACUGACGCUCAUGCACGAAAGCGUGGGGAGCAAACAGGAUUAGAUACCCUGGUAGUCCACGCCCUAAACGAUGUCAACUAGCUGUUGGGGCCUUCGGGCCUUGGUAGCGCAGCUAACGCAUGAAGUUGACCGCCUGGGGAGUACGGUCGCAAGAUU
This 547-nucleotide ribosomal RNA is filed under the name uncultured bacterium. RNAcentral's name for it is "partial 16S ribosomal RNA". It matches the Rfam family "Bacterial small subunit ribosomal RNA", at positions 355 to 895 of the family's 1533-position model. The record is from RNAcentral.